Molecule: long non-coding RNA, 684 nt
Filed under: Lathyrus oleraceus (garden pea)
Lineage: Eukaryota; Viridiplantae; Streptophyta; Magnoliopsida; Fabales; Fabaceae
Description: Pisum sativum (pea) long non-coding RNA (PSAT_LNC025872)
Source: RNAcentral
ACACAAUUACCCUUGUUUUCUCAUCUAAAUCUUGUGUUAAAAAUAACUUACAUAAAAGUUUCUAACAAAAGCUUACGAGCCAAAAUCAAAUAUGUCUUAAUAAUAACGUUUAAUUUGCAACAAAUAUCAACUAGUCAUUAGCAUAAUGUGGAAUGUUUUAAAGUCAAAGCAAGGGAAGUUACCAUUAACCAUAUGCCACCACACCAUUUUAUAAUCACCUUAUAAUGUUACAGAACAUGUAUAUGCGGGUUAUAUGCACCACAUUUGUUCACAAUUUAAUACAACGUCAUGUAGUAGCUACACAGUGAACUUAAAAAGAAAACUCAUACAAAGGACAAAACAAAGCCUACCAUGAGUCGUUAUUGAAAACCCUUAUGCAUCCCAUUAGAUACAUACUCAAGACAAAGUAAACAAAAUCUGCAGAAAACACAUGGCUUGGUAACAAGGAAGAGCAGUUGAACAUUUAACAAUUCAUGUGAAUCAGGAUAUUCAACAUGAGAAGAAACAACAGCCAAACGAAAUCACAACCAAAUCAAAAACAAAAGAAACCAACGGAAUCUUGGACUGUGGGAUCACAGAGUUAUGCUUUUGUGUUGUUGUCGAAGUUGUUGAAAACGACGUUCAUGGGGGAGCUCGGUUUUGUAUUUGGUGAGCGAACGUGAUGCUUGUUGGUUAUUAUGCUGC